Molecule: ribosomal RNA, 889 nt
Filed under: Salmonella enterica subsp. enterica serovar Javiana
Lineage: Bacteria; Pseudomonadati; Pseudomonadota; Gammaproteobacteria; Enterobacterales; Enterobacteriaceae
Description: partial 23S ribosomal RNA
Rfam family: Bacterial large subunit ribosomal RNA
Source: RNAcentral
CUGGUUCUCCCCGAAAGCUAUUUAGGUAGCGCCUCGUGAAUUCAUCUCCGGGGGUAGAGCACUGUUUCGGCUAGGGGGCCAUCCCGGCUUACCAACCCGAUGCAAACUGCGAAUACCGGAGAAUGUUAUCACGGGAGACACACGGCGGGUGCUAACGUCCGUCGUGAAGAGGGAAACAACCCAGACCGCCAGCUAAGGUCCCAAAGUCAUGGUUAAGUGGGAAACGAUGUGGGAAGGCCCAGACAGCCAGGAUGUUGGCUUAGAAGCAGCCAUCAUUUAAAGAAAGCGUAAUAGCUCACUGGUCGAGUCGGCCUGCGCGGAAGAUGUAACGGGGCUAAACCAUGCACCGAAGCUGCGGCAGCGACGCUGAUGCGUUGUUGGGUAGGGGAGCGUUCUGUAAGCCUGUGAAGGUGGCCUGUGAGGGUUGCUGGAGGUAUCAGAAGUGCGAAUGCUGACAUAAGUAACGAUAAAGCGGGUGAAAAGCCCGCUCGCCGGAAGACCAAGGGUUCCUGUCCAACGUUAAUCGGGGCAGGGUGAGUCGACCCCUAAGGCGAGGCCGAAAGGCGUAGUCGAUGGGAAACGGGUUAAUAUUCCCGUACUUGGUGUUACUGCGAAGGGGGGACGGAGAAGGCUAUGUUGGCCGGGCGACGGUUGUCCCGGUUUAAGCGUGUAGGUGUGUGUUCCAGGUAAAUCCGGUUCACUUUAACACUGAGGCGUGAUGACGAGGCACUACGGUGCUGAAGCAACAAAUGCCCUGCUUCCAGGAAAAGCCUCUAAGCAUCAGGUAACAUCAAAUCGUACCCCAAACCGACACAGGUGGUCAGGUAGAGAAUACCAAGGCGCUUGAGAGAACUCGGGUGAAGGAACUAGGCAAAAUGGUGCCGUAACU